CAGAACUGUUGCAGAAGAGAUGCAACAUCACGCCAGACGCUGAGUUAUUUCCCUCCUGCCCUGUCUCACCACGGUUUCCUCCCACUUGGUCACACAUGCACCUUCAAAGGAUCACACAGAGAAUGAAGAAUACAAAAUCAUCCCAAGAAUGAAGAUGAUGAACAUAUAAAGAGUUGUAUGGAGAAAGAAAAUGCCCCGGAGGAGGAAGACAGCAUGACAUUUUCACAGAAC
This 231-nucleotide long non-coding RNA is filed under the name Fukomys damarensis (Damara mole-rat). RNAcentral's name for it is "lncRNA (ENSFDAG00000024537.1)". Lineage: Eukaryota; Metazoa; Chordata; Mammalia; Rodentia; Bathyergidae. The record is from RNAcentral.